RNAcentral lists this ribosomal RNA (322 nucleotides) under uncultured eukaryote. RNAcentral's name for it is "partial 18S ribosomal RNA". It matches the Rfam family "Eukaryotic small subunit ribosomal RNA", at positions 1470 to 1796 of the family's 1831-position model. The record is from RNAcentral.
CCCUUAGAUGUUCUGGGCCGCACGCGUGCUACACUGAGUGGAUCAGCGGGUCAGGUUGCGCGAAAGUGUUUCCUAAUCUUGAAAUCCGCUCGUGAUGGGGAUUGACGGUUGCAAUUUUCCGUCAUGAACGAGGAAUACCUUGUAAGCGCGGGUCAUCAUCCCGCGCUGAAUACGUCCCUGUCCUUUGUACACACCGCCCGUCGCUCCUACCGAUUGAGUGGUCCGGUGAGGCUUUGGGAUCUGAGCAAAAAGAGCGUUUCGCUCGUUUGGCUCGGAAAACUCAGUCGAACCUUAUCAUUUAGAGGAAGGAGAAGUCGUAACA